AUCCAGAAUUACAAUACCUAGGUCUAUUUAGCAAUUUAGAGGACAAUAGUUGGAACUUAAUGUUGCCCAAGGUGACAACCCAAGAGGGGGGGUGAAUUGGGUUUUCUAAAUUUUAAGACCUCAAAUUAAUUUUUAAGUGAAUGUGGUUUGGCCUAUGUAAUAAGAUAGGUGCAGUGGAAGCAAUAGUAGUAUAGCUCUAAACAAUUGUGAUUAAGUUACUUUGAAAGUUUAAGAUAGAGCAAUUGCUUAAGUAAAGAAAAUAAACCAAGAAGCACACAAUGCAAACACAAUUAAAUAUAGUGGUUCGGUGCACCCCAAAGCACCUAUGUCCACUCCCCAAGCGUUUUUUUGGGAAUUCACUAUAACCCCUCGGAUUACAGUUGGAUUAUUUUUCCGGGCUCACAAUUCAAAAACCCUUACAAUUGGUUUUCCGGGAUCAUUAAAAACCUAUGUUGGUUUUCCGGGCUCACCAUCAACCUAACCGUUGGUUUUACAGGCUCACCAACAACCUAUGUUGGUUUUACGAGCUCACCAAUAACCUACACCGUUGAUUUUACGGGCUCACCAACAAACCUUAUAAUGAAUGAAAAAUAAAAGGUUUAAAGCUCCUAAGUGAGCAAUUAUAACAAAUAUGCAGUACAAGAAGAGAUAAGAAAAUAAUUAUCGCUUUUAAGAUCCUCUUCUCUUCUUUGCUGAGCUUGCUUCACUCCUCAAGGAUUGGUAGAGCUCUUGAAGUCUCUUGAAUUCUGCUCAACCACCUUCUUUCAGAUUUUGGGAUGAAGUAAUAAAUGAAACUCUCUUGGAUUUUCUUUUCUUUUGAAUGCACAUUUUAAUUCCUACCAAGAUACCUUCCUUUGAUGAAUAAUGGCUCUUAAAUACUUCUCCAACCUCCAAAGAUCACUUCCUAGCCGUUGGAAUGGAGAAACUAGUCGUUUAUAGCCGUUGGGAGCUCAAAAAGUACUUCUGCAGAACUAGCCGUUAUGCUGUCAGCCGUGUUGGGGUCGAACCGAGCAAAUCUGGGGUCAGCUCAUAUUACUGUUCAUCAGGCUGGGGUCGGCUCAAAUUACUGUUCAUCAGGUUGGGGUCGGCUCAAGCUUUUCUUGGGUCGG
RNAcentral lists this long non-coding RNA (1109 nucleotides) under Phoenix dactylifera (date palm). RNAcentral's name for it is "long non-coding RNA (PDAC_LNC015816)". The record is from RNAcentral. Lineage: Eukaryota; Viridiplantae; Streptophyta; Magnoliopsida; Arecales; Arecaceae.